This 387-nucleotide RNase P RNA is filed under the name Cellulomonas hominis. Its description in RNAcentral is "Bacterial RNase P class A". It matches the Rfam family "Bacterial RNase P class A". Rfam says of the family: Ribonuclease P (RNase P) is a ubiquitous endoribonuclease, found in archaea, bacteria and eukarya as well as chloroplasts and mitochondria. Its best characterised activity is the generation of mature 5'-ends of tRNAs by cleaving the 5'-leader elements of precursor-tRNAs. The record is from Rfam by way of RNAcentral. Lineage: Bacteria; Bacillati; Actinomycetota; Actinomycetes; Micrococcales; Cellulomonadaceae.
UGAGCUGGCCAGGCGGCCGCGUCGAGCCCUCGGGCUCGCCGAGGAACGUCCGGGCUCCACAGGGCAGGGUGGUGGGUAACACCCACCCGGGGUGACCCGCGGGACAGUGCCACAGAGAACAGACCGCCGUCGCACGGCCUUCGGGACGGGCGGCGGUAAGGGUGAAACGGUGGUGUAAGAGACCACCAGCGUGCCGGGCGACCGGUGCGGCUCGGUAAACCCCACCCGGAGCAAGGCCAGACAGGGAGCGUUCGAGGGCUGCCCGCCCGAGCUCCCGGGUAGGCCGCUGGAGGCGUGCGGCAACGUACGUCGUAGAUGGAUGGCCGCCACCCGCGCGGGGGUGACCGCGCGCGGGGACAGAACCCGGCGUACAAGCCAGCUCAUCCG